UCCAUCAUUAUGAAUUGCCUAAAAUCCUCUCUUAAGACUAACACAUUAAUUUGUCCACGGUUGGGAAUGGUUGUAUCUGGAGUACAUCUGUUUGAAUCUUGUUAACACGAUCAUCAAAGCUUUCUAAGAAGGUAUAAACUCUAUCCUACUAUAAGAUUGAGCUAUAUUUCUGUAUAUUAAUAUCACAUUUAAUAGGAUUUGAUUGGUGAAAUCGAUUUUUUUCCACAAUCCUU
Molecule: long non-coding RNA, 233 nt
Filed under: Carica papaya (papaya)
Lineage: Eukaryota; Viridiplantae; Streptophyta; Magnoliopsida; Brassicales; Caricaceae
Description: long non-coding RNA (CPAP_LNC003943)
Source: RNAcentral